Molecule: ribosomal RNA, 455 nt
Filed under: Leptodiscella japonica
Lineage: Eukaryota; Fungi; Ascomycota; Dothideomycetes; Muyocopronales
Description: eukaryotic LSU rRNA
Rfam family: Eukaryotic large subunit ribosomal RNA
Source: RNAcentral
UUGUAAUUUGCAGAGGAUGCUUCGGCUUGUGCGCCGCCCAAAGUUCCUUGGAACAGGAUGUCAUAGAGGGUGAGAGCCCCGUAUCCGGGUGGAUGCUCAUGCCAUGUGAAGCUCCUUCGACGAGUCGAGUUGUUUGGGAAUGCAGCUCAAAAUGGGAGGUAAAUUUCUUCCAAAGCUAAAUACCGGCUGGAGACCGAUAGUGCACAAGUAGAGUGAUCGAAAGAUGAAAAGCACUUUGGAAAGAGAGUUAAACAGCGCGUGAAAUUGUUAAAAGGGAAGCGCUUGCGGCCAGACUCGGCCGUCGUUGCUCGGCGGGGCCUCGUGCCCCGUUUACUCUUCGGCGGUUGGGCCAGCAUCGGCUCGGGCGGCUGGAUAAAGGCUGCGGGAAUGUGGCUCUCUUCGGGGAGUGUUAUAGCCCGCGGUGGAAUGCAGCCUGCCUGGGUCGAGGUGCUGCG